UAGGGAAUCUUCCACAAUGGACGCAAGUCUGAUGGAGCAACGCCGCGUGAGUGAAGAAGGUUUUCGGAUCGUAAAGCUCUGUUGUUGGUGAAGAAGGAUAGAGGCAGUAACUGGUCUUUAUUUGACGGUAAUCAACCAGAAAGUCACGGCUAACUACGUGCCAGCAGCCGCGGUAAUACGUAGGUGGCAAGCGUUGUCCGGAUUUAUUGGGCGUAAAGCGAGCGCAGGCGGAAUGAUAAGUCUGAUGUGAGAGCCCACGGCUCAACCGUGGAACCGCAUCGGAAACUGUCAUUCUUGAGUGCAGAAGAGGAGAGUGGAACUCCAUGUGUAGCGGUGGAAUGCGUAGAUAUAUGGAAGAACACCAGUGGCGAAGGCGGCUCUCUGGUCUGCAACUGACGCUGAGGCUCGAAAGCAUGGGUAGCGAACAGGAUUAGAUACCCUGGUAGUCCAUGCCGUAAACGAUGAGCGCUAGGUGUUGGGGACUUUCCGGUCCUCAGUGCCGCAGCAAACGCAUUAAGCGCUCCGCCUGGGGAGUACGACCGCAAGGUUGAAAC
RNAcentral lists this ribosomal RNA (554 nucleotides) under uncultured bacterium. Its description in RNAcentral is "partial 16S ribosomal RNA". It matches the Rfam family "Bacterial small subunit ribosomal RNA", at positions 355 to 900 of the family's 1533-position model. The record is from RNAcentral.